GAUGAACGCUGGCGGCGUGCCUAAUACAUGCAAGUCGAGCGAACGGACGAGAAGCUUGCUUCUCUGAUGUUAGCGGCGGACGGGUGAGUAACACGUGGAUAACCUACCUAUAAGACUGGGAUAACUUCGGGAAACCGGAGCCAAUACCGGAUAAUAUUUUGAACCGCAUGGUUCAAAAGUGAAAGACGGUCUUGCUGUCACUUAUAGAUGGAUCCGCGCUGCAUUAGCUAGUUGGUAAGGUAACGGCUUACCAAGGCAACGAUGCAUAGCCGACCUGAGAGGGUGAUCGGCCACACUGGAACUGAGACACGGUCCAGACUCCUACGGGAGGCAGCAGUAGGGAAUCUUCCGCAAAGGGCGAAAGCCUGAUGGAGCAACGCCGCGUGAGUGAUGAAGGUCUUCGGAUCGUAAAACUCUGUUAUUAGGGAAGAACAUAUGUGUAAGUAACUGUGCACAUCUUGACGGUACCUAAUCAGAAAGCCACGGCUAACUACGUG
This 497-nucleotide ribosomal RNA is filed under the name uncultured bacterium. RNAcentral describes it as "partial 16S ribosomal RNA". It matches the Rfam family "Bacterial small subunit ribosomal RNA", at positions 28 to 507 of the family's 1533-position model. The record is from RNAcentral.